GUGAGGAAUUUUCCGCAAUGGGCGAAAGCCUGACGGAGCAAUGCCGCGUGAAGGAUGAAGGCCUAUGGGUUGUAAACUUCUUUUCUCAGAAAAGAAUUAUGACGGUAUCUGAGGAAUAAGCAUCGGCUAACUCUGUGCCAGCAGCCGCGGUAAGACAGAGGAUGCAAGCGUUAUCCGGAAUGAUUGGGCGUAAAGCGUCUGUAGGUUGUUUAAAAAGUAUUCUGUCAAAGAUUAGGGCUUAACCCUAGAUAGGCAGAAUAAACUUUUAAGCUAGAGUUUGGUAGAGGCAGAGGGAAUUCCCAGUGGAGCGGUGAAAUGCGUAGAUAUCGGGAGGAACACCAAAGGCGAAGGCACUCUGCUGGGCCAAUACUAACACUGAGAGACGAAAGCGAGGGGAGCAAAUGGGAUUAGAUACCCGAGUAGUCC
This 426-nucleotide ribosomal RNA is filed under the name uncultured bacterium. RNAcentral describes it as "bacterial SSU rRNA". It matches the Rfam family "Bacterial small subunit ribosomal RNA", at positions 354 to 796 of the family's 1533-position model. The record is from RNAcentral.